This 494-nucleotide ribosomal RNA is filed under the name Sporosarcina sp. 'ARUP UnID 609'. RNAcentral describes it as "bacterial SSU rRNA". It matches the Rfam family "Bacterial small subunit ribosomal RNA", at positions 27 to 504 of the family's 1533-position model. The record is from RNAcentral. Lineage: Bacteria; Bacillati; Bacillota; Bacilli; Caryophanales; Caryophanaceae.
GGACGAACGCUGGCGGCGUGCCUAAUACAUGCAAGUCGAGCGAAUYRAUGGGAGCUUGCUCCCUGAGAUUAGCGGCGGACGGGUGAGUAACACGUGGGCAACCUGCCCUGCAGAUGGGGAUAACUCCGGGAAACCGGGGCUAAUACCGAAUAAUCAGUUCCUCCGCAUGGAGGAACUCUGAAAGACGGUUUCGGCUGUCACUGCAGGAUGGGCCCGCGGCGCAUUAGCUAGUUGGUGGGAUAACGGCCUACCAAGGCGACGAUGCGUAGCCGACCUGAGAGGGUGAUCGGCCACACUGGGACUGAGACACGGCCCAGACUCCUACGGGAGGCAGCAGUAGGGAAUCUUCCACAAUGGACGAAAGUCUGAUGGAGCAACGCCGCGUGAGCGAAGAAGGUUUUCGGAUCGUAAAGCUCUGUUGCGAGGGAAGAACAAGUACGGGAGUAACUGCCCGUACCUUGACGGUACCUCGUUAGAAAGCCACGGCUAACUAC